AGAGUUUGAUCCUGGCUCAGGAUGAACGCCGGCGGUGUGCCUAAUACAUGCAAGUCGUACGCACUGGCCCAACUGAUUGAUGGUGCUUGCACCUGAUUGACGUUGGAUCACCAGUGAGUGGCGGACGGGUGAGUAACACGUAGGUAACCUGCCCCGGAGCGGGGGAUAACAUUUGGAAACAGAUGCUAAUACCGCAUAACAACAAAAGCCACAUGGCUUUUGUUUGAAAGAUGGCUUUGGCUAUCACUCUGGGAUGGACCUGCGGUGCAUUAGCUAGUUGGUAAGGUAACGGCUUACCAAGGCGAUGAUGCAUAGCCGAGUUGAGAGACUGAUCGGCCACAAUGGAACUGAGACACGGUCCAUACUCCUACGGGAGGCAGCAGUAGGGAAUCUUCCACAAUGGGCGCAAGCCUGAUGGAGCAACACCGCGUGAGUGAAGAAGGGUUUCGGCUCGUAAAGCUCUGUUGUUGGAGAAGAACGUGCGUGAGAGUAACUGUUCACGCAGUGACGGUAUCCAACCAGAAAGUCACGGCUAACUACGUGCCAGCAGCCGCGGUAAUACGUAGGUGGCAAGCGUUAUCCGGAUUUAUUGGGCGUAAAGCGAGCGCAGGCGGUUGCUUAGGUCUGAUGUGAAAGCCUUCGGCUUAACCGAAGAAGUGCAUCGGAAACCGGGCGACUUGAGUGCAGAAGAGGACAGUGGAACUCCAUGUGUAGCGGUGGAAUGCGUAGAUAUAUGGAAGAACACCAGUGGCGAAGGCGGCUGUCUGGUCUGCAACUGACGCUGAGGCUCGAAAGCAUGGGUAGCGAACAGGAUUAGAUACCCUGGUAGUCCAUGCCGUAAACGAUGAGUGCUAGGUGUUGGAGGGUUUCCGCCCUUCAGUGCCGGAGCUAACGCAUUAAGCACUCCGCCUGGGGAGUACGACCGCAAGGUUGAAACUCAAAGGAAUUGACGGGGGCCCGCACAAGCGGUGGAGCAUGUGGUUUAAUUCGAAGCUACGCGAAGAACCUUACCAGGUCUUGACAUCUUGCGCUAACCUUAGAGAUAAGGCGUUCCCUUCGGGGACGCAAUGACAGGUGGUGCAUGGUCGUCGUCAGCUCGUGUCGUGAGAUGUUGGGUUAAGUCCCGCAACGAGCGCAACCCUUGUUACUAGUUGCCAGCAUUAAGUUGGGCACUCUAGUGAGACUGCCGGUGACAAACCGGAGGAAGGUGGGGACGACGUCAGAUCAUCAUGCCCCUUAUGACCUGGGCUACACACGUGCUACAAUGGACGGUACAACGAGUCGCAAGCUCGCGAGAGUAAGCUAAUCUCUUAAAGCCGUUCUCAGUUCGGACUGUAGGCUGCAACUCGCCUACACGAAGUCGGAAUCGCUAGUAAUCGCGGAUCAGCAUGCCGCGGUGAAUACGUUCCCGGGCCUUGCACUCACCGCCCGUCA
This 1434-nucleotide ribosomal RNA is filed under the name uncultured bacterium. RNAcentral's name for it is "bacterial SSU rRNA". It matches the Rfam family "Bacterial small subunit ribosomal RNA". The record is from RNAcentral.